This 370-nucleotide ribosomal RNA is filed under the name uncultured eukaryote. RNAcentral describes it as "partial 18S ribosomal RNA". It matches the Rfam family "Eukaryotic small subunit ribosomal RNA", at positions 592 to 976 of the family's 1831-position model. The record is from RNAcentral.
CAAUAGCGUAUAUUAAAGUUGUUGCAGUUAAAAAGCUCGUAGUUGGACCUUGGACCUGGACAGGCGGUCCGCCUCACGGCGAGUACUGUCUUGCUGGGUCUUUCCUCUUGGUGAUCUGUUGUUUCGGCAGCAGGGAACCAGGACCUUUACUUUGAAAAAAUUAGAGUGUUCAAGGCAGGCUCGACGCCGGAAUAUAUUAGCAUGGAAUAAUAAAAUAGGACGUGCGGUUCUAUUUUGUUGGUUUUUGGAAUCGCCGUAAUGAUUAAUAGGGACAGUCGGGGGCAUUAGUACUCACAUGCUAGAGGUGAAAUUCUUGGAUUUUGUGAAGACUAACUUCUGCGAAAGCAUUUGCCAAGGAUGUUUUCAUUAA